UUUCGGCAAGGGGUCAUCCCGACUUACCAACCCGAUGCAAACUGCGAAUACCGGAGAAUGUUAUCACGGGAGACACACGGCGGGUGCUAACGUCCGUCGUGAAGAGGGAAACAACCCAGACCGCCAGCUAAGGUCCCAAAGUCAUGGUUAAGUGGGAAACGAUGUGGGAAGGCCCAGACAGCCAGGAUGUUGGCUUAGAAGCAGCCAUCAUUUAAAGAAAGCGUAAUAGCUCACUGGUCGAGUCGGCCUGCGCGGAAGAUGUAACGGGGCUAAACCAUGCACCGAAGCUGCGGCAGCAACACUAUGUGUUGUUGGGUAGGGGAGCGUUCUGUAAGCCUGUGAAGGUGUACUGUGAGGUACGCUGGAGGUAUCAGAAGUGCGAAUGCUGACAUAAGUAACGAUAAAGCGGGUGAAAAGCCCGCUCGCCGGAAGACCAAGGGUUCCUGUCCAACGUUAAUCGGGGCAGGGUGAGUCGACCCCUAAGGCGAGGCCGAAAGGCGUAGUCGAUGGGAAACAGGUUAAUAUUCCUGUACUUGGUGUUACUGCGAAGGGGGGACGGAGAAGGCUAUGUUGGCCGGGCGACGGUUGUCCCGGUUUAAGCGUGUAGGCUGGUUUUCCAGGCAAAUCCGGAAAAUCAAGGCUGAGGCGUGAUGACGAGGCACUACGGUGCUGAAGCAACAAAUGCCCUGCUUCCAG
RNAcentral lists this ribosomal RNA (696 nucleotides) under Escherichia sp. E4742. RNAcentral's name for it is "partial 23S ribosomal RNA". It matches the Rfam family "Bacterial large subunit ribosomal RNA", at positions 913 to 1611 of the family's 2925-position model. Lineage: Bacteria; Pseudomonadati; Pseudomonadota; Gammaproteobacteria; Enterobacterales; Enterobacteriaceae. The record is from RNAcentral.